RNAcentral lists this ribosomal RNA (511 nucleotides) under Sulfitobacter sp. RNAcentral describes it as "bacterial SSU rRNA". It matches the Rfam family "Bacterial small subunit ribosomal RNA", at positions 375 to 905 of the family's 1533-position model. Lineage: Bacteria; Pseudomonadati; Pseudomonadota; Alphaproteobacteria; Rhodobacterales; Roseobacteraceae. The record is from RNAcentral.
GCGCAGCCUGAUCUAGCCAUGCCGCGUGUGUGAUGAAGGUCUUAGGAUCGUAAAGCACUUUCGCCAGGGAUGAUAAUGACAGUACCUGGUAAAGAAACCCCGGCUAACUCCGUGCCAGCAGCCGCGGUAAUACGGAGGGGGUUAGCGUUGUUCGGAAUUACUGGGCGUAAAGCGUACGUAGGCGGAUUGGAAAGUUGGGGGUGAAAUCCCAGGGCUCAACCCUGGAACUGCCUCCAAAACUAUCAGUCUAGAGUUCGAGAGAGGUGAGUGGAAUUCCAAGUGUAGAGGUGAAAUUCGUAGAUAUUUGGAGGAACACCAGUGGCGAAGGCGGCUCACUGGCUCGAUACUGACGCUGAGGUACGAAAGUGUGGGGAGCAAACAGGAUUAGAUACCCUGGUAGUCCACACCGUAAACGAUGAAUGCCAGUCGUCGGGCAGUAUACUGUUCGGUGACACACCUAACGGAUUAAGCAUUCCGCCUGGGGAGUACGGUCGCAAGAUUAAAACUCAAA